CUCCUGGGAAGGCCUCGUGUUGCAACCC
This 28-nucleotide ribosomal RNA is filed under the name Leucosidea sericea. The record is from RNAcentral. Lineage: Eukaryota; Viridiplantae; Streptophyta; Magnoliopsida; Rosales; Rosaceae. RNAcentral also lists the same sequence under 5 other names.